RNAcentral lists this ribosomal RNA (406 nucleotides) under uncultured bacterium. RNAcentral's name for it is "partial 16S ribosomal RNA". It matches the Rfam family "Bacterial small subunit ribosomal RNA", at positions 30 to 526 of the family's 1533-position model. The record is from RNAcentral.
AUUGAACGCUGGCGGCAGGCCUAACACAUGCAAGUCGAGCGAGCGGCGGACGGGUGAGUAAUGUCUGGGAAACUGCCUGAUGGAGGGGGAUAACUACUGGAAACGGUAGCUAAUACCGCAUACCAUCAGAUCUGCCCAGAUGGGAUUAGCUAGUAGGUGGGGUAACGGCUCACCUAGGCGACGCUCCCUAGCUGGUCUGAGAGGAGGACCAGCCACACUGGAAGGGAGACACGGUCCAUACUCCUACGGGAGGCAGCAGUGGGGAAUAUUGCACAAGGGGCGCAAGCCUGAUGCAGCCAUGCCGCGUGUGGGAAGAAGGCCUUCGGGUUGUAAAGCACUUUAAGUUGGGAGGCGUUACCAACAGAAUAAGCACCGGCUAACUUCGUGCCAGCCGCCGCGGUAAUUC